This 519-nucleotide ribosomal RNA is filed under the name uncultured eukaryote. Its description in RNAcentral is "SSU rRNA". It matches the Rfam family "Eukaryotic small subunit ribosomal RNA", at positions 1161 to 1702 of the family's 1831-position model. The record is from RNAcentral.
AGGGCACCACCAGGAGUGGAGCCUGCGGCUUAAUUUGACUCAACACGGGAAAUCUCACCAGGCCCGGACACCGGAAGGAUUGACAGAUUGAGAGCUCUUUCUUGAUUCGGUGGGUGGUGGUGCAUGGCCGUUCUUAGUUGGUGGAGCGAUUUGUCUGGUUAAUUCCGAUAACGAACGAGACUCUGGCCUACUAACUAGAUGAUUCCUGGUUUAUCCGGGAGUCACUGCUUCUUAGAGGGACGGGCGGCGUUUAGCCGCACGAGAAUGAGCAAUAACAGGUCUGUGAUGCCCUUAGAUGUUCUGGGCUGCACGCGCGCUACACUGAAGGAAUCAGCGUGUCCUCCCCACCCUGGCAAGGGCGGGUAACCCGUUGAAACUCUUUCGUGAUGGGGAUUGGAGAUUGUAAUUAUUCUCCAUGAACGAGGAAUUCCCAGUAGGCGCGAGUCAUCAGCUUGCGUCGAUUACGUCCCUGCCCUUUGUACACACCGCCCGUCGCUACUACCGAUCGAGUGAUUUAGU